AUUGAACGCUGGCGGCAGGCCUAACACAUGCAAGUCGAACGGAGUGGCGGACGGGUGAGUAAUGUCUGGGAAACUGCCCGAUGGAGGGGGAUAACUACUGGAAACGGUAGCUAAUACCGCAUACUAUCAGAUGAGCCUAGGUCGGAUUAGCUAGUUGGUGGGGUAAAGGCCUACCAAGGCGACGAUCCGUAACUGGUCUGAGAGGAUGAUCAGUCACACUGGAACUGAGACACGGUCCAGACUCCUACGGGAGGCAGCAGUGGGGAAUAUUGGACAAUGGGCGAAAGCCUGAUCCAGCCAUGCCGCGUGUGUGAAGAAGGUCUUCGGAUUGUAAAGCACUUUAAGUUGGGAGGCGUUACCAACAGAAUAAGCACCGGCUAACUUCGUGCCAGCAGCCGCGGUAAUAC
RNAcentral lists this ribosomal RNA (407 nucleotides) under uncultured bacterium. Its description in RNAcentral is "partial 16S ribosomal RNA". It matches the Rfam family "Bacterial small subunit ribosomal RNA", at positions 30 to 526 of the family's 1533-position model. The record is from RNAcentral.